GAUGAACGCUAGCGGCAGGCUUAACACAUGCAAGUCGAGGGGUAACAGGGAGUGCUUGCACUCUGCUGACGACCGGCGCACGGGUGCGUAACGCGUAUGCAACCUACCUUCUACAGGGGGAUAGUCCAGAGAAAUUUGGCAUAAUACCCCAUACGAUCAUUUAUUGGCAUCGAUAGAUGAGGAAAACUCCGGUGGUAGAAGAUGGGCAUGCGUCCUAUUAGUUAGUUGGUAAGGUAACGGCUUACCAAGACAUCGAUAGGUAGGGGUCCUGAGAGGGAGAUCCCCCACACUGGUACUGAGACACGGACCAG
This 311-nucleotide ribosomal RNA is filed under the name uncultured bacterium. Its description in RNAcentral is "bacterial SSU rRNA". It matches the Rfam family "Bacterial small subunit ribosomal RNA", at positions 28 to 334 of the family's 1533-position model. The record is from RNAcentral.